Molecule: ribosomal RNA, 433 nt
Filed under: uncultured bacterium
Lineage: Bacteria
Description: partial 16S ribosomal RNA
Rfam family: Bacterial small subunit ribosomal RNA
Source: RNAcentral
AACGAACGCUGGCGGCAUGCCUAACACAUGCAAGUCGAACGAGACCUUCGGGUCUAGUGGCGCACGGGUGCGUAACGCGGGGGACCCUGCCCUUAGGUUCGGAAUAACUCCCCGAAAGGGGUGCUAAUACCGGAUAAUGUCUUCGGACCAAAUAUUUAUCGCCUUUGGGUGGGCCCGCGUUGGAUUAGCUAGUUGGUAGGGAAAAAGCCUACCAAGGCGACGAUCCAUAGCUGGUCUGAGAGGAUGAUCAGCCACACUGGGACUGAGACACGGCCCAGACUCCUACGGGACGCAGCAGUGCGGAAUCUUGGACAAUGGGCGAAAGCCUGAUCCACCUAUGCCGCGUGAGUGAUGAAGGCCUUAGGGUUAUAAAGCUCUUUUACCCGGGAUGAUAAUGACAGUACCGGGAGAAUAAGCUCCGGCUAACUCCGUG